Long non-coding RNA from Tachysurus vachellii, 2462 nucleotides. RefSeq lists it as uncharacterized. The transcript is spliced from 3 exons. The record is from RefSeq and is a predicted model, not a curated record. NCBI's taxonomy places the organism in Eukaryota, Metazoa, Chordata, Actinopteri, Siluriformes, Bagridae.
CAGUCUUUAUAAAAUAUUUCCCAUGAUUUAAUAAACUUAUUAGACCAAUAUAAAAAAAUGAAAUCUUCACUAUAUUUUAUAUGUAUGAUUAUUUGAAGACAUUUAUUAGUAGCAGAAAGUUCAAAGUGUUAUUUAUGUAUGGCACAAUUGUGAACAAAUGAAAUAAACAAAUUUUGUAAGUGAAUAAAAAACAAUAUUCUAUUCUUCUAAUCUAGCUUCUAAUCAGCUGGGGAAACAGCAUUGGAGCUGGAAAUUCAAAGAAGCUGUGUCUUAGAAAUACUUGUAUGUAUUUAUUUAUGUUUAGAAGCUUUUAAAUGGAUUUUAUCCUGUUUGUCUUAAAAAUCUCAAUUUAUUAUUCCAGCCUUUGACAUACGGCGCACUAUUACAGUCUCAUGAACUACAGUGAAGGUAAUAAUGCCAUUUACCUUUUAUAUCUGUGAUGAGCAUACGGCCAUCAAUGUCAUAUAAAUCCCAAAGGGAAUAAACUCUCAGAGGAUUUGAGCACCGGAGCCUGAGUGAGCAACAGAUGGCCUGUAAUAAUAAAAAGUACAUCAGGCAUCACGUGUGAAUCAAGUUCUCCACUUCUCGUUAACGCAAGACAUGUGUAAUUGAUUCCAGAUGGAUGGGCUGGCAGGGGACGAUGUCAAAUAAUGAGAGGUCAUGGUGAUCUGCACCCCUGGCCAAAGCCGCUGCCACACAUCUUCAGCAAAGCACUACAAUUUCAUGGUCCAUUGGGCUUUUCGGAUGGAGGGACAAAUUGGACACGCAGAAGGCUUCCAGUAAAUUGUUUGGGGUCUGGCCUGGUGUUAAUGUUAUUUCACGGCCCCUUGGGCCAGUUUGCAGAACAGUCUCUCCACAUCCUGAGCACUCGACUGAUUUUGUCCACUCUCCAACCUGUUCAGCCAGGAACUUCCAGUCACAGGCCAGAUUUAUGAAUCUGCUCUCGACAGGGGCUCGCCCCUCUGCAGCUGUAACAGGGGCCCAGGAGUGGCAGAUUGGUGAGCCUGGGAAUCAACCUUCUGAUCAGUAGUCCAACACCUUAACCACUGAGCUACCACUUCAACUGUCAAACAGUGACUGCUUUUAUUGUCUUUUGUGGGCAGCAUGCACUAGUGGAUUUACAGAUUUGCAAAGCAAGCUAACUGGACUAGAUACAGUAUGUCCACUCACCAAAGGAAUCAAUGAUCAGCUAUUUCCUUUCAAACCUUAUUUUUCUUCAUGGUGUCUCUAUACACAUUCGAGAGACUGUAUAUGCCAGGAUUUGAUGAAACCAUGGUUAUAGUUUUUCUUCCCCAUUUUUCUGUGUCACACAGUAAAUGUGAAGUAAUUGCACAUUGGAAAUAAAUGUUGUCAUUGGAGAAGUGAAGAAAUGUCAGACCACACGUGCCAGAGGUUUGGUGCAAGAAAUCAUGUCAAUUCAAUUUAAAUGCCACUUGUUGUUCUGCUACUUGCCACUGCUGCUGAAAUAAUUGUGCUAGACCAUUCACACAUGUAUUAAUGGCUGUCUGUUGCUUUAGUGGCAGAAAAACCCAUAGGCUAGGCAAUACUCAGAAAGACAAGAUGGUACACUAAUAAAGACCACAAAACUAAGACCAAUAAUAAAGGUAACAGAAGCUAGAACUCAUCACAGACACAAGGUUGGACUUGUAAACAAUUGAGACCAGUUAGUAAUCAGUUCACUGUAAGUGGGACAGGUGCUUGACUGGAGGUGAUAUCAUGGUCAGUAAACUGGUCAGCACUUUUUUAUGUUUCUAUCCUGUAGGGUAUUGUACAGCAUUGUCAGUCUGCAUUGUCUUUUUUCGUGCAGUGUUUGCACUAGGUUGCACACUAAGCAUGGUAUUUUGCUAGGACAACUUUUUAGACCUUAGCUCUGUGUUGUUUUAUGCAGCACCAUGGUCCUGGAGAAACGUUGUUUCAUUUCACUAUGUACUGUGUCAGAUAUAUAUGGUUGAAAUGGCAAUAAAAGCUUUUCGAUCUGCCUUGACUUGAUGUGAUAAGGUUGUGGACUAAGGAUCAUGGGAGCUGUAGCACUGCAUCUUUGAGAGUGGUUCAUAAAGUUAGAAUUCCAGGACAGACAGAAAGCCAUUGUUUAACAGAGUAUUAUUUAUGGGCAUUGACAAGUAAAGUAAUAAUAAAAUGUAAGCAAAAAUAAAAAGGAAAAUAAGAUGAAAAUAAUAAUAAUAAAUCCAGGAAAUAAAACUUGCUGACUCAGAUUAAUGUUGUGAAUUUGACAUGAUCCAUGGAACUGGUUUCUUUGUGGAGAAAAAUGAAUUAAGAAUUACAAACAUAAAUCCUAAAAGCUCUCAUCUACAAGUAGGGAUGAUCUGAUUUUCAGACAUCUGAAUCACAGGUGUAUAUCAGAUCUAAAUAACAAAUAGUCAAACUGCAUUUUUCCAGACCUGCCUCCUGUAGCGAUAUCAUUAACAUCAGAGCUAUUUACGAUGUCUUUCUUCAAUGGCACA